Long non-coding RNA from Symphalangus syndactylus (siamang), 1294 nucleotides. RefSeq lists it as uncharacterized. The record is from RefSeq and is a predicted model, not a curated record. Lineage: Eukaryota; Metazoa; Chordata; Mammalia; Primates; Hylobatidae.
AAACAUAUGGAUGAUUACACCCUAGUAUUUGCUGUGAUUCUACAGAAAUGCAUGACUCUCAGGAGACAUCCAAAAGACAGCAGAUAACUCACAUGAAACUGAAUAGUGAACUUCAUCCUCAAUGAACCACAGAGUUCCCCAUUCUGAGUAUAUUGUUCAAGUUAUUUUCCUAUUUUCCUUCCGCAGGUUCUAGCAUGUAUUAACACCGUGUGUCUGAAGUCUUCCCUGCUGGUCAUCUGGAGGAAUCUGAGAAGGGGCAGGUCUUUCUUCUGACUCUCAGAGCAGCACCCUCUGCUGGACAGGGCCGGGCACCUCAUCUCAAGCCCAGUCUGAUCCACCAACAGGGUCUGUUAUCUCCUGUCCAGGGAAGAGUCAAGCUGCACUAAUCUAGACCAGGGAUCCCCACCCCUGGGCUGCGGACCGGUCCCCGUGGGUGGCCUGUCAGGAACUGAACCGCACAGCAGCACGUGAGCAGCGGGUGAUUGAGCAUGACCACCUGAGCUCUGCCUCCUGUGAGAUCAGCAGCGCCACUGCAUCUCAGAGGAGUGCGAACCCUACUGUGAACUGUGCAUGUGAGGGAUCUGGGUUGCAUGCUCUUUAUGAGAAUCUAACUAAUGCCUGAUGAUCUCGAGCGGCACAGUUUAAUCCUGAAACCAUCCCCCCGCCUGUGGAAAAACUGCCUUCCACAAAACCAGUCCCUGGUGCCAAAAACGCUGGGAACCGCUAAUCUAGACAGUUCUCUGCUAAGGAAGCACGUGGUUGAGAAACAUCAGAAUCGUUCCCAGGGACCAUGCUCCGGAGUCUCAGCAGGCGCCUGCAGGUGAGCCCCACUGAGGAGAGGUGAGCCUCUCCUCUUCCUUCUGGACUUCCUCAGCUUUGGUAAUGAAAAGCUGCAUCCUCUUCUGUCCCCAGUUCCUCUCUGGGUGUCAGGAUCUCUAAAACCCUCUCAGCCGCUGAGAAAUCUGUCUAUCUGUCUCACAGUGUCUUUAUCCGUGCAUCAUGAAGGACCCUCAUACGGCUGACGUGCCUUGGCUAAUGCGAGUAACACUGCAGCAAGCGUGGGAGUGCAGAUACCUCUUGGAAAAACCCAUUUCCUUCAGAUACACACUCAGAGGUAGGAUUGCUGUAUUGUUUGGUCAUUUUGAAUUUUAAAAUUAAAAAUAAUUUUAAUUCUCAUAUUGUUUUGAGUAAAAUUAAAUUAUAACUUGUAAGGCAACUCCAUGAUUUUUAUAAUUUUUUAAGAAAUAAUUGCUCUGCCAAUUGACUGUCCCAACAACAGUGUACAGGGGCAUUU